AGUGAACGCUGGCGGUAGGCCUAACACAUGCAAGUCGAACGGCAGCACAGUAAGAGCUUGCUCUUACGGGUGGCGAGUGGCGGACGGGUGAGGAAUACAUCGGAAUCUACUUUUUCGUGGGGGAUAACGUAGGGAAACUUACGCUAAUACCGCAUACGACCUACGGGUGAAAGCAGGGGAUCUUCGGACCUUGCGCGAUUGAAUGAGCCGAUGUCGGAUUAGCUAGUUGGCGGGGUAAAGGCCCACCAAGGCGACGAUCCGUAGCUGGUCUGAGAGGACGAUCAGCCACACUGGAACUGAGACACGGUCCAGACUCCUACGGGAGGCAGCAGUGGGGAAUAUUGGACAAAGGGCGCAAGCCUGAUCCAGCCAUACCGCGUGGGUGAAGAAGGCCUUCGGGUUGUAAAGCCCUUUUGUUGGGAAAGAAAAGCAGCAGGUUAAUACCCCGCUGUUCUGACGGUACCCAAAGAAUAAGCACCGGCUAACUUCGUG
This 492-nucleotide ribosomal RNA is filed under the name uncultured bacterium. RNAcentral describes it as "partial 16S ribosomal RNA". It matches the Rfam family "Bacterial small subunit ribosomal RNA", at positions 29 to 507 of the family's 1533-position model. The record is from RNAcentral.